RNAcentral lists this small RNA (75 nucleotides) under Pedobacter sp. Hv1. Its description in RNAcentral is "Flavo-1 RNA". It matches the Rfam family "Flavo-1 RNA". Lineage: Bacteria; Pseudomonadati; Bacteroidota; Sphingobacteriia; Sphingobacteriales; Sphingobacteriaceae. The record is from Rfam by way of RNAcentral.
UACUAAACGGGAUUGUAAUGGAAAUCCUUUUUGUUGCCAAGCACAAAAAGAUUGGAAUGUAAAGCCCGACUAACG